Molecule: ribosomal RNA, 281 nt
Filed under: uncultured Staphylococcus sp.
Lineage: Bacteria; Bacillati; Bacillota; Bacilli; Caryophanales; Staphylococcaceae
Description: partial 16S ribosomal RNA
Rfam family: Bacterial small subunit ribosomal RNA
Source: RNAcentral
CUCCUUUGACGUUAGCGGCGGACGGGUGAGUAACACGUGGGUAACCUACCUAUAAGACUGGGAUAACUUCGGGAAACCGGAGCUAAUACCGGAUAAUAUUUCGAACCGCAUGGUUCGAUAGUGAAAGAUGGUUUUGCUAUCACUUAUAGAUGGACCCGCGCCGUAUUAGCUAGUUGGUAAGGUAACGGCUUACCAAGGCGACGAUACGUAGCCGACCUUAGAGGGUGAUCGGCCACACUGGAACUGAGACACGGUCCAGACUCCUACGGGAGGCAGCAGGC